This 645-nucleotide ribosomal RNA is filed under the name Maladera sp. 836997. RNAcentral's name for it is "eukaryotic LSU rRNA". It matches the Rfam family "Eukaryotic large subunit ribosomal RNA", at positions 663 to 1265 of the family's 3401-position model. The record is from RNAcentral. Lineage: Eukaryota; Metazoa; Arthropoda; Insecta; Coleoptera; Scarabaeidae.
GGACCAAGGAGUCUAGCAUGUGCGCGAGUCAUUGGGAUUUUUACUAAACCUAAAGGCGCAAUGAAAGUGAAGGUCCGCCUUGCGCGGACCGAGGGAGGAUGGACCGUUCCGAGGAACGGCCUCGCACUCCCGGGGCGUCUCGCUCUCAUCGCGAGAAGAGGCGCACCCAGAGCGUACACGCUGGGACCCGAAAGAUGGUGAACUAUGCCUGGUCAGGACGAAGUCAGGGGAAACCCUGAUGGAGGUCCGUAGCGAUUCUGACGUGCAAAUCGAUCGUCGGAACUGGGUAUAGGGGCGAAAGACUAAUCGAACCAUCUAGUAGCUGGUUCCCUCCGAAGUUUCCCUCAGGAUAGCUGGCGCUCGCUUCUCGCGAGUCUCAUUCGGUAAAGCGAAUGAUUAGAGGCAUUGGGGUCGAAACGGCCUCAACCUAUUCUCAAACUUUAAAUGGGUGAGAUCUCCGGCUUGCUUGAACUGUGAAGCCGCGAGAUAUCGGAUCAGAGUGCCAAGUGGGCCACUUUUGGUAAGCAGAACUGGCGCUGUGGGAUGAACCAAACGCAGAGUUAAAGCGCCUAAAUCGACGCUUAUGGGAUACCAUGAAAGGCGUUGGUAACUUAAGACAGCAGGACGGUGGCCAUGGAAGUCGGA